This 204-nucleotide long non-coding RNA is filed under the name Elaeis guineensis (African oil palm). RNAcentral's name for it is "long non-coding RNA (EGUI_LNC011351)". Lineage: Eukaryota; Viridiplantae; Streptophyta; Magnoliopsida; Arecales; Arecaceae. The record is from RNAcentral.
CCUCUCUUCCUUUCCAUCCUUUCCAUGGCUUCGUGCACCCUCGCCGGCCUUCGGGAUUGUCGAAAAAAUCAUGAAAAGGGUGAAUUCUGUUUUGCUCUAUUUUGAUCGGACCCUUUCCUCUCUUUUUCGACCACCGGCACCGUCGGUUGCGGCGUCUCAUCCCUAGGAUAGGAUCCUCAUCUCUUUAUCUCUCUUUCCUGAAGG